This is a non-coding RNA of Pelobates cultripes (western spadefoot toad), 247 nucleotides long. The record is from the annotation of a GenBank genome assembly. Lineage: Eukaryota; Metazoa; Chordata; Amphibia; Anura; Pelobatidae.
CUGGCCUGCUUGAUUUGCAGACAGACCGUGUGCAUUCACACUAGGCUGACCUACCAAUUCUCCCUUUGUGCAGCACCAGUCCUGCAGUUCACGUCACUGACCCUCCCAGCCCACUGGUGUUCCACUUCACUGGACGCCCAUAUUGGAGGUAUGAUUCUCCCCAAAUGGAUUAAAUCAUCACACACAUCACAUCGCUUCUACAUGGGACAUAUAUCCUUUAACCCUUUAAAUGUAACUGGCAUUAGAC